GCUACACCUGCUAAUACAUUUGAUGGACUAUUUUGCACUAGUACACGUAGCUAAUGCUAGUCAUAUUUAGCAGUGUAGCCUAUACACGAUGUCCUACACAUCUGAAGUGUGUGUGUAUGUGGGUGUGGGGGUGUGCGUGCGUGUGUGUGGGUGUGUUAGAGAGAGAGAGAGAGAGAGAGAGAGAGAGAGAGAGAGAGAGAGA
This is a long non-coding RNA of Ictalurus punctatus (channel catfish), 202 nucleotides long. Lineage: Eukaryota; Metazoa; Chordata; Actinopteri; Siluriformes; Ictaluridae. The record is from Ensembl.